Molecule: unclassified non-coding RNA, 200 nt
Filed under: Hyaloscyphaceae sp.
Lineage: Eukaryota; Fungi; Ascomycota; Leotiomycetes; Helotiales; Hyaloscyphaceae
Description: partial internal transcribed spacer 2
Source: RNAcentral
UUAAGUUCAGCGGGUAUCCCUACCUGAUCCGAGGUCAAACUUAGAAAGUGAGGGGGUUGAUGGCCAGCGUCCACCGGGUCCCUAUAGCGAGGAGGUUUACUACGCUCAGGGCCCGACGCGCCGCCACUGAUUUUAAGGCCCGCUGGGUGAGCAGCGGAACCCAAUACCAAGCAAUGCUUGAGGGUUGUAAUGACGCUCGA